Molecule: ribosomal RNA, 264 nt
Filed under: uncultured bacterium
Lineage: Bacteria
Description: partial 16S ribosomal RNA
Rfam family: Bacterial small subunit ribosomal RNA
Source: RNAcentral
GUCCUUGCUGUAAACGGUGUACACUUGAUGUAGCUGGGCUCGAUCCUGGCUGUGUCGUAGCUAACGCGAUAAGUGUACCGCCUGAGGAGUACGCUCGCAAGGGUGAAACUCAAAAGAAUUGACGGGGGCCCCGCACAAGCAGUGGAGCAUGUGGUUUAAUUCGAUGCAACGCGAAGAACCUUACCCAGGUUAGAAGUGUAGGGGACGAUAUUAGAGAUAGUAUUUUCCGCAAGGACCGCUACAUAGGUGCUGCAUGGCUGUCGU